GCACCCGUAGCUCAAUUGGAUAGAGCAUCGGUCUUCGGAACCGAGGGUUGCAGGUUCAAGUCCUGCCGGGUGCGCUA
RNAcentral lists this transfer RNA (77 nucleotides) under Phycisphaerae bacterium. RNAcentral's name for it is "tRNA-Arg". It matches the Rfam family "tRNA". From Rfam's summary of the family: Transfer RNA (tRNA) molecules are approximately 80 nucleotides in length. Their secondary structure includes four short double-helical elements and three loops (D, anti-codon, and T loops). Further hydrogen bonds mediate the characteristic L-shaped molecular structure. tRNAs have two regions of fundamental functional importance: the anti-codon, which is responsible for specific mRNA codon recognition, and the 3' end, to which the tRNAs corresponding amino acid is attached (by aminoacyl-tRNA synthetases). tRNAs cope with the degeneracy of the genetic code in two manners: having more than one tRNA (with a specific anti-codon) for a particular amino acid; and 'wobble' base-pairing, i.e. permitting non-standard base-pairing at the 3rd anti-codon position. Lineage: Bacteria; Pseudomonadati; Planctomycetota; Phycisphaerae. The record is from RNAcentral.